RNAcentral lists this ribosomal RNA (291 nucleotides) under uncultured bacterium. RNAcentral's name for it is "partial 16S ribosomal RNA". It matches the Rfam family "Bacterial small subunit ribosomal RNA", at positions 773 to 1060 of the family's 1533-position model. The record is from RNAcentral.
GUGGAUUAGAUACCCUGGUAGUCCACGCCCUAAACGAUGUCAACUAGGUGUUGGGAGGGUUAAACCUUUUAGUACCGUAGCUAACGCGUGAAGUUGACCGCCUGGGGAGUACGGCCGCAAGGUUAAAACUCAAAGGAAUUGACGGGGACCCGCACAAGCGGUGGAUGAUGUGGAUUAAUUCGAUGCAACGCGAAAAACCUUACCUACCCUUGACAUGUCAGGGAUCCCGAAGAGAUUUGGGAGUGCUCGAAAGAGAACCUGAACACAGGUGCUGCACGGCCGUCGUCAGCU